UACGUAGGGCGCGAGCGUUAAUCGGAAUUACUGGGCGUAAAGCGUGCGCAGGCGGUUUGAUAAGCCAGAUGUGAAAUCCCCGAGCUCAACUUGGGAACUGCGUUUGGAACUGUCAGACUAGAGUGCGUCAGAGGGGGGUGGAAUUCCGCGUGUAGCAGUGAAAUGCGUAGAGAUGCGGAGGAACACCGAUGGCGAAGGCAGCCCCCUGGGAUGACACUGACGUUCAUGCACGAAAGCGUGGGGAGCAAACAGG
Molecule: ribosomal RNA, 253 nt
Filed under: uncultured bacterium
Lineage: Bacteria
Description: partial 16S ribosomal RNA
Rfam family: Bacterial small subunit ribosomal RNA
Source: RNAcentral